UACGAAGGGGGCUAGCGUUGUUCGGAAUUACUGGGCGUAAAGCGUGCGCAGGCGGUUCGUUGUGUCUGAUGUGAAAGCCCCGGGCUCAACCUGGGAACGGCAUUGGAAACUGGCGAGCUAGAGUGUGGCAGAGGGGGGUGGAAUUCCGCGUGUAGCAGUGAAAUGCGUAGAGAUGCGGAGGAACACCGAUGGCGAAGGCAGCCCCCUGGGCUGACACUGACGUUCAGGCACGAAAGCGUGGGGAGCAAACAGG
This 253-nucleotide ribosomal RNA is filed under the name uncultured bacterium. Its description in RNAcentral is "partial 16S ribosomal RNA". It matches the Rfam family "Bacterial small subunit ribosomal RNA", at positions 524 to 776 of the family's 1533-position model. The record is from RNAcentral.